GACCGCAUAGCUCAGUUGGCAGAGCAUUGGGCUAGCAUUCCAAAGGUCGUAGGUUCAAUUCCCACCGUGGCCA
RNAcentral lists this transfer RNA (73 nucleotides) under Paramuricea clavata. It matches the Rfam family "tRNA". Rfam says of the family: Transfer RNA (tRNA) molecules are approximately 80 nucleotides in length. Their secondary structure includes four short double-helical elements and three loops (D, anti-codon, and T loops). The record is from Rfam by way of RNAcentral. Lineage: Eukaryota; Metazoa; Cnidaria; Anthozoa; Malacalcyonacea; Plexauridae.